This 639-nucleotide long non-coding RNA is filed under the name Olea europaea subsp. europaea. The record is from RNAcentral. Lineage: Eukaryota; Viridiplantae; Streptophyta; Magnoliopsida; Lamiales; Oleaceae.
GCACAUUUUGUGUUAUACAUGCAUACACUUAAUUAGAAAUGUCUCCAUUCAUAUGCAUGGCUUCACAUAAUAGAAAUAAUUAUAUGCUGGCGCUUUAUUUUGCUUCCUUGCUUUUGCAGCAGCAAUUUGUCUUGAUUUCUGCAUCCAGGAUGCCUAAUAUUCACCCACCAGCUAGCGUUCCAUGUUUGAACAGCCCGAACCAUUUUCUCUUAAUUCCAGCAUCCGACAGGCCUAAUAUUCACUCACCUGCCCCUGUCCCAAGUUCGGACAGCCCAAAACCUCCAGGGAAUCGUCGCCUUACUAUCAACCGGUAUAAGAAGAUAGAGUCGGAAGCUUUCAGGCCAACAACUCCAGGACACAGCCCAGGUAUGGGCAAUAACAACCCCCCUGGUGUCCAUAAACUUUAGGCAUAUCAUAUACUAGAGUUAAAAUCUUGUGAGAUUGCUGAUUGGUGAGUUUUUUUUACUAGUACUCUUGAGAGAGAAAUAAGAUAUUUCCAGGAUAAAUCUUUUCUAAAUCCUGUAAACAUAAGAAUGAAGAAUUAAGCUACUUGUACCCUAGUUUGACACCCUUUGAGGUGUCAAAAUCAAGGUCAUUGAUUUGAAUAAGUAUUGUUAAAAUGAAUGGUAAAACUCUGUG